GUUAUGUUCAAUGUUUCCGCAGGAAAGUCUCAUACGUUCCUGAAUGUUGGUUAUCAAUGUAAAAGAUGUAUACUGAAACCUGGUUAUCUUGUGAAGUGUAUAAAGUUGUUCAUUAUUACUAUAAGUAAAUCUCUGUUAUCCUAAUUGCGAGUUCCAUAACCAUACGAUAGACUAGAUAUGGCAAUAAGUAGUCCACAUCACCUUAUGACUUUCGUCACCCUUGAACCAUUUCGGUUCGGCUGUAGCUAGCAGCCAGGUGUGGGGUAGUCAGCCCCGUAUAGAUCUAUACACUCAAGUCACGCUCUCUAAAUCCCAGAGAUUCUGGUUACGGGUGUAGUCCUCCACUCGCGUAUCUCUGUGGAGUGUUCGCCGAGGACGUGUCUCCAAUCAUACAGGAAUAACAAAUUUACUAGUAAUAAUAUGAUAGUCCUCCACUCGCGUAUCUCUGUGGAGUGUUACCGAGGACAAACAGUGUACAAGUUUCAUGUUCAUAUGUUCUAAUGUCAUGCUUUUAACUGAUAAAAUGUGGAAAACUGUUUGUGAAGUAUAUAAAACAUAACAGUUUAUAAAACCCAUCUCGACGGUAAACGUUUCGGUUAAAGGUACAAGUUUCAUGUUCAUAUGUUCUUUCUCACCGUUCGCCAUCUCGACGGUAAACGUUUCGGUUAAAGGUUGGGAAUUAUGUUUUAGGUUAUGUUUGAAUGCAUGACUAAUAAAGCUCCUCUCAGCACCCGAAUCGAAAAGAAUAUUAGCAUAUAAGUUGUCCAGAAGGAACGUACCCGAUACAACAGUGGGAUCAGCGACCGCUUCCUCCUGUCCUAUGGCUAGGACUCUUCCGGUGUUAUUGGCUGUAGACUUCUUGGGGCAGUUCCUUUUAAAGUGCCCAGCUUCACCACAGUUGUAGUAGGCUUGACCAACGCCUGCUCCCGAAGAUUGAUUGGCCGAUUGGGCCGGAGCUUUGCAGAAUCGAACGGUGUGCCCCUUCUUACCACAAUUGGUACACGACAGUUCUCGGCAGGGGCCAGGGUUGUGGUGAUACUUGCACUUGUCACAGAGGGGAAGAUUACCAGCAUACCGACUAGUAGGAGUUGGAGCUGUGGAUCCCACAACAGAAGCAGCAGCAACGGGGGUAGUAGCAGCAUGGACUGCUACUGUUUGCUGUCUUUUGGAGGAUCCUUGGGAAGAUUGACCCUUCUUCUUCUUCCAGAAUUUUCUUUUCUCACCACUGCUUUUAGUCGACUCAGGGGCAGUGGUGGUUUCCUCAACAUCAUCACUGUGGUCAAUUAUAGCUUGGGCUAAAGUCUUAGCACUAUCAUAUGUGUCCGGGCGAGCAGCUAAGACAUGACCUUUUGUUGGAUUGGUUAACCCCCAAAUAAACCUCUCGAUCUUUUUGCUUUCAGGAGUGACCAGACCAGGACAGAGAAGGGCAAGAUCAUCGAAUCGGGAAGUGUAUGCAGCAAUGUCGGAACCUUUCAUCUUCAGGUUCCAGAGCUCGUGCUCUAGCUUCUGCAUUUCACCACGGGGACAGUAUUCGGCAAGGAGGAGUUCUUUCAUGGCGUCCCAGCCCAUGGCAUUGGCUACGGGUAGGGUCAAGGAUUUGACUCGGCCAUUCCACCAAGUCAAGGCUUUAUCACUAAAGGUACAGGCUGCAAAUUUGACCUUAUCGGACUCAGCACAAGCACGGAUUUCAAAAAUGGAUUCGAUUUUCUCGAACCAUCGGGAUAAGGAAAUGACACCUCCAGUGCCAUCGAAGAAUGAAAGCUUCGCAUUCAUGAAGUCCUUGUAGGAACCCUCCUUUCGGCGUUGCUGGUUACUUUCUUGAUCUUGAGUACCACCUCCCGAACCACCGGAACCACCGGUGUUCAAUUGGGACAUAGCAGCUGCCACUGCGGCGGUAACAGCUGUCUGGAAUAACACGGGAUCAAUUUCAGGAGGAGCUGGUGGCGGAGGGUUGUUGGUCUUUGAGCUGGGUCUCUUUCUGGGAGGCAUCUUGAUCUAAUAAGAUCAAGAAAGAGAGGAUGAUAAGUCCUCUGAAUUGAAUCGAGAGAUAUGCCAUAUAUUUAUUCCAAAUAAGCGAUAAAGCAGGAAAGAGUUAUCAAAGCAGGUAAACUAUCGCUAAUGGAAUGAUCAAGGAUCUAUACAUGAACGAGGAUUUCUACAAAUAAUUGGCUCGAUAAAUACUCCCAUAGUAUUUCAUGAUUCGUUACUACAUUGGCGCGAUGUUUGUGGUAUUAGGGUAAGUUUUGGGCAUGCCUCAUACCACAGUCACUCCCAAGCACAUGUUGGUCGUGUCUCGAAUGAAUAUAGUUAGCCAGACUAUAUUGAUCCUAGACACGACUACAUAACUGCCCAGGUUUAGCCACAGUAUACAACACCCAUUUACUUAUGUUUUGUUCUACUUGUAUUUACGAAUCUCGACGGCUCGGUAUACUUAUAUAUUUUUUAAAAUAAUUAUAGUUUGAAGAUACUUUUAAUUCAGAGCACUUAGGCCCUUUAGUGUUUAUAGUUUUUUAUACCAUGUAAGGUUUGGUAUACUUUAUUCACUAUAAAACAAGGGCUCUGAUACCAAUCUGUCACACCCUGAAAACCGAAGGCGGAAACAUUUCCGGGGUUGACUCCACGUUGAGUAUCAAAUCCAAUGUACAUAGUAAGUAAAGUGAAACAAACAUUACAUUACAUAUAGAAAAGUUUUACAUUGUUUCAAAAGUAAAGUUAUACAGUUGUGAUACAUAGUAUAAAAUAACAAAACGAGCGGAUCUUCGGAGCACUCCAUCCUGAACAAAAAUGAUCUUCGAGUUCCUGUUCUAUCAAUGACCUGAGAACACAAGCGUUUUGAAAAUCAGCAUAACGCUGGUGAGUUCAUAAGCGGUUUUUGUUUGUGAAAUGUUCAUGUUUCCUUUCUGUUCCUGAAAAUGUAACACACGCCAAGAAAAUCCCACAUUUUCUUAAAAAGUUGGUUGUUGUUUCACAUUAUGUAAAGUAAAGUUGUACACUGAAAACACGUUUACCCUUGUGAAAAAUGUACACUUAGGUUAUCUGUUUUGUUAUACUUUUCUGGUUAUGUACCAAUGGAUUCCCAGGAAAGUCCCAUACUUUCCUGAUUGCAUACUACCAAUUGUAAAAGAUGUAAGGUUAUCUAGUUUGUUACACUUUUCUAGUUAUGUAAAUGUUUCCCCAGGAAGGUCCCAUACCUUCCUAAUUGUAUGUUACCGUAUGAAAAAAAUGUAAAAGAUGUAUUACUGUUAACGUGGUUAUGUUCAAUGUUUCCCCAGGAAAGUCUAUACGUUCCUGAAUGUUGGUUAUCAAUGUAAAAGAUGUAUACUGAAACCUGGUUAUCUUGUGAAAUGUAUUACGUUAUUCAUUAUUACUAUUAAGUAAAUCUCUGUUAUCCUAAUUACGAGUUCCAUAACCAUACGAUAGACUAGAUAUGGCAAUAAGUAGUCCACAUCACCUUAUGACUUUCGUCACCCUUGAACCAUUUCGGUUCGGCUGUAGCUAGCAGCCAGGUGUGGGGUAGUCAGCCCCGUAUAGAUCUAUACACUCAAGUCACACUCUCUAAAUCCCAGAGAUUCUGGUUACGGGUGUAGUCCUCCACUCGCGUAUCUCUGUGGAGUGUUCGCCGAGGACGUGUCUCCAAUCAUACAGGAAUAACAAAU
Molecule: long non-coding RNA, 3656 nt
Filed under: Lactuca sativa (garden lettuce)
Lineage: Eukaryota; Viridiplantae; Streptophyta; Magnoliopsida; Asterales; Asteraceae
Description: long non-coding RNA (LSAT_LNC001493)
Source: RNAcentral